This 273-nucleotide ribosomal RNA is filed under the name uncultured prokaryote. RNAcentral's name for it is "partial 16S ribosomal RNA". It matches the Rfam family "Bacterial small subunit ribosomal RNA", at positions 524 to 796 of the family's 1533-position model. The record is from RNAcentral.
UACGGAGGUUGCAAGCGUUGUUCGGAAUAACUGGGCGUAAAGGGAGCGCAGGCGGUCCGGUAAGUCUAAAGUGGAAGCCCGGGGCUUAACCUCGGAAGUGCUUUAGAUACUGCCGGACUCGAGUUCGUGAGAGGAGAGCGGAAUUCCAGGUGUAGCGGUGAAAUGCGUAGAUAUCUGGAGGAACACCGGUGGCGAAAGCGGCUCUCUAGCACGAUACUGACGCUGAGGCUCGAAAGCAUGGGUAGCGAACAGGAUUAGAAACCCCCGUAGUCC